RNAcentral lists this ribosomal RNA (491 nucleotides) under uncultured bacterium. Its description in RNAcentral is "partial 16S ribosomal RNA". It matches the Rfam family "Bacterial small subunit ribosomal RNA", at positions 29 to 507 of the family's 1533-position model. The record is from RNAcentral.
AGUGAACGCUGGCGGUAGGCCUAACACAUGCAAGUCGAACGGCAGCACAGUAAGAGCUUGCUCUUACGGGUGGCGAGUGGCGGACGGGUGAGGAAUACAUCGGAAUCUACUUUUUCGUGGGGGAUAACGUAGGGAAACUUACGCUAAUACCGCAUACGACCUACGGGUGAAAGCAGGGGAUCUUCGGACCUUGCGCGAUUGAAUGAGCCGAUGUCGGAUUAGCUAGUUGGCGGGGUAAAGGCCCACCAAGGCGACGAUCCGUAGCUGGUCUGAGAGGAUGAUAAGCCAAACUGGAACUGAGACACGGUCCAGACUCCUACGGGAGGCAGCAGUGGGGAAUAUUGGACAAUGGGCGCAAGCCUGACCCAGCCAUACCGCGUGGGUGAAGAAGGCCUCGGGUUGUAAAGCCCUUUUGUUGGGAAAGAAAAGCAGCAGGUUAAUACCCCGCUGUUCUGACGGUACCCAAAGAAUAAGCACCGGCUAACUUCGUG